Molecule: small RNA, 568 nt
Filed under: Pongo abelii (Sumatran orangutan)
Lineage: Eukaryota; Metazoa; Chordata; Mammalia; Primates; Hominidae
Description: processed transcript
Source: RNAcentral
AUUACAAACUCAUGAAGCAGGAAAGGAAAGCUUGGAUUUUUUUCCAAGGCUGUUAGGGAGGUUGAGAGGCUUAAUAGAUAAUUCUGGACUGAGGUUAUUUUAUACAAUGGAUAUAAGGAAAUAUGAUGCUGGGGUGAUUGAGGCUGGCCUCUGGGUGAGCCUCUUCCAUACCAUCCCUCCAGGGAUGCCUGAGUUCCAUUCUGAGGGUCACUGCACUUUGGAGUGCCUGGAAGAGGCUCUGGAAGCCGAAAAGCCAAGUGGAAUUCAUGUGUUUGCUGUUCUUCUCCAUGCUCACCUGGCUGGCAGAGGCAUCAGGCUUCGUCAUUUUCGAAAAGGGAAGGAAAUGAAAUUACUUGCCUAUGAUGAUGAUUUUGACUUCAAUUUCCAGGAGUUUCAGUAUCUAAAGGAAGAAGAAACAAUCUUACCAGGAGAUAACCUAAUUACUGAAUGUCGCUACAACACGAAAGAUAGAGCUGAGAUGACUUGGGGAGGACUAAGCACCAGGAGUGAAAUGUGUCUCUCAUACCUUCUUUAUUACCCAAGAAUUAAUCUUACUCGGUGUGCAAGU